UGAAGUUAACGCAUUAAGCACUCCGCCUGGGGAGUACGGCCGCAAGGUGAAACUCAAAGGAAUUGACGGGGGCCCGCACAAGCGGUGGAGCAUGUGGUUUAAUUUGAAGCAACGCGAAGAACCUUACCAGGUCUUGACAUCCUUUGACAACCCUAGAGAUAGGGCUUCCCCUUCGGGGGCAGAGUGACAGGUGGUGCAUGGUUGUCGUCAGCUCGUGUCGUGAGAUGUUGGGUUAAGUCCCGCAACGAGCGCAACCCUUGAUCUUAGUUGCCAUCAUUAAGUUGGGCACUCUAAGGUGACUGCCGGUGACAAACCGGAGGAAGGUGGGGAUGACGUCAAAUCAUCAUGCCCCUUAUGACCUGGGCUACACACGUGCUACAAUGGACGGUACAAAGAGCUGCAAGACCGCGAGGUGGAGCUAAUCUCAUAAAACCGUUCUCAGUUCGGAUUGUAGGCUGCAACUCGCCUACAUGAAGCUGGAAUCGCUAGUAAUCGCGGAUCAGCAUGCCGCGGUGAAUACGUUCCCGGGCCUUGUACACACCGCCCGUCACACCACGAGAGUUUGUAACACCCGAAGUCGGUGGGGUAACC
RNAcentral lists this ribosomal RNA (591 nucleotides) under Bacillus bingmayongensis. RNAcentral's name for it is "bacterial SSU rRNA". It matches the Rfam family "Bacterial small subunit ribosomal RNA", at positions 847 to 1440 of the family's 1533-position model. Lineage: Bacteria; Bacillati; Bacillota; Bacilli; Caryophanales; Bacillaceae. The record is from RNAcentral.